RNAcentral lists this transfer RNA (72 nucleotides) under Prochlorococcus sp. MIT 0602. Its description in RNAcentral is "tRNA-Gly". It matches the Rfam family "tRNA". From Rfam's summary of the family: Transfer RNA (tRNA) molecules are approximately 80 nucleotides in length. Their secondary structure includes four short double-helical elements and three loops (D, anti-codon, and T loops). RNAcentral also lists the same sequence under 1 other name. The record is from RNAcentral. Lineage: Bacteria; Bacillati; Cyanobacteriota; Cyanophyceae; Synechococcales; Prochlorococcaceae.
GCGGGUGUAGUUCAGUGGUAGAACGUAAGCUUCCCAAGCUUAAUGUCGCCAGUUCGAGCCUGGUCAUCCGCU